RNAcentral lists this ribosomal RNA (553 nucleotides) under uncultured bacterium. RNAcentral describes it as "bacterial SSU rRNA". It matches the Rfam family "Archaeal small subunit ribosomal RNA", at positions 725 to 1275 of the family's 1478-position model. The record is from RNAcentral.
AGUGAAUAGAUACCCGGGUAGUCCUAGCCGUAAACGAUACUCGCUAGGUGUCGGCCACGGUGCGACCGUUGUCGGUGCCGUAGGGAAAGCCGUGAAGCGAGCCACCUGGGAAGUACGGCCGCAAGGCUGAAACUUAAAGGAAUUGGCGGGGGAGCACCACAACGGGUGGAGCUUGCGGUUUAAUUGGAUUCAACGCCGGAAAUCUUACCGGGACCGACAGCAAUAUGAAGGCCAGGCUGAAGACUUUGCCGGAUUAGCUGAGAGGUGGUGCAUGGCCGUCGUCAGUUCGUACUGUGAAAGCAUCCUGUUAAGUCAGGCAACGAGCGAGACCCACGCCACAGUUGCCAGCGUACUCUCCGGAGUGACGGGUACACUGUGGGGACCGCCGCUGCUAAAGCGGAGGAAGGAAUGGGCAACGGUAGGUCAGUAUGCCCCGAAUAUCCCGGGCUACACGCGAGCUACAAUGGUUGGUACAAUGGGUAUCUACCCCGAAAGGGGAUGGAAAUCUCCUAAAGCCAAUCUUAGUUCGGAUUGAGGGCUGCAACUCGCCCUC